RNAcentral lists this long non-coding RNA (1195 nucleotides) under Marmota monax (woodchuck). The record is from RNAcentral. Lineage: Eukaryota; Metazoa; Chordata; Mammalia; Rodentia; Sciuridae.
CCAUAAAUAACAUUGCCUUUAAGACUCUGGACAUAGAAGCUGGGCUCCGAAAUAGUUGACUUUUUUUUUUUUUAAUCGAAAGCAUAUUUCUUUUAAUGACUCCAGAAAAUUAAGCAUCAAGUAAACAAAAGUGGAAAAUGACCUACACUUUUAAUAUAUUUCACUAGAGCCUAAAUAUAUUAAAGGCUGCUAUGUUUUGUAUGUAGUUGGAUUUUUUUGGACUCCGAAGGAAUCCAUCUGCAGACAUUGAAGCCCAAGCAGAAUUUGGAUUGGUGUGGAUUCUAAAUACUUCUGCUUAUCUUUAAGAGGAAAACUUCAUAAAGAAUAAACAAGUUGAAUAGAGAAAAUAUUUAUAAUAGGCAUUUUAGAUGUCUUUUUAAAUUUUUUCUGCUGUGAAACAUUUCAAGAUUUAUUGAUUUUUUUUUUUUUUUAAUUUUCCCCAUCAUACUCACACACAGGCUCACACUUUAUAUUCGCCAUAAUGAACCGUCCAGCCCCUGUGGAGAUCUCCUAUGAGAACAUGCAUUUUCUGUUAACUCACAACCCUACCAAAGCAACUCUCAACAAGUUCACAGAGGAACUUAAGAAGUAUGGAGUAACAACUUUGGUUUGAGUUUGUGAUGCUACAUAUGAUAAAGCUCCAAUUGAAAAAGAAGGAAUCUACAUUCUAGAUUGGCCAUUUGAUGAUGUAGCUCCACCCCUCUAAUCAGAUAGUAGAUGAUUGGCUGAACCUGUUAAAAACCAAAUUCCUUGGAGGGCCAGGUUGCUGUGUUGCAGUGUAUUGUGUUGCAGGAUUGGGAAGGGUACCUUUGCUGGUUGCACUUGCUUUGAUUGAAUGUGGAAUAAAGUAUGAAGAUGCAGUUCAGUUUAUAAGACAAAAAAUAAGGGGAGCAUUCAAUUCCAAACAGUUCUUUACUUGGAGAAAUAUCAACCUAAGUUGCGAUUACGCUUCAGAGAUACCAAUGGACAUUGCUGUGUUCAGUAGAAAUAAAUAGAAACGAAGGCUUAUGUAAUUGUAGCAUUUGGAGGGAACUCUUGGUACCUGGAAAUGUAAAUCUGGAAUUUUACCUGUGUCAUUGAAGUAGUGAUGGAUUCUAUACUCCUCAACCACUCUUCUUAACAAUUAGGAAAAAGUAAACAAAUAAGAAAUCCCUCUACAACAUGAAUAAAAUGUUGAAGGAAAAAGGAAAUAAAA